UGGCCUAAACCGCCAAUAAAUUGGCUAUACCAUACCGUAAAGUGACGGCCUAGGCCGCCAAUAUGUUUUCCAACAUUAAAAAAAAAUAAAAUCAAAGCCAAUAUGUUUUCCAACAUUAAAAAAAAAUAAAAUCAAUUCAACGCAGGAAACUUAAAAGUUAAAAUCAUUUGUCUUAACCAACACAGAGAAAAGGAACACAUCACACUACCACAAUCUAUCUUCACCAAUGAAACCAACCUUCCCAAACAAAAGAUAAACUAUGGAUUUUCAAACCACCGCUUCUGCAAAUCACCAACAUAAGGCAAUGCGAAUCGAUUUGUCUUCGUCAGAUCUGUCUUUGCCGGCAAAACCUCCAUGAUCGCUGCUCAUUCAUCUCCCUUGAUCUCUCAUCAGAUUUGUCUUGAGUUUUUUUGCCUUUCUGUUUCCUGUUAGCGAUGCAUCAGAGGUAUGGUAUUGUUGUUUGUUUUUGGAUAGUUCAUGUUUGUAUCUUUCUCCCAACAAAAAGGAUUCACGGUAAAACUUAAAAAUAAAAUCUUCUUUUUGUUAGAUGUGCGAAUAUUGUAGGCAUUGUUACUUGCUAGAUCUGGAAGAAAAUAAAUAAACAAACCCAUUCAUGAAGCUUGCUAGAUCCGGAAAAAACAAAUAAACUCAUAAAGAAACCAGUUAGAUCUGUAAAUCUAUGAAGUUAUACUAUUUUUUUUAAAAAAAAUAGGGUAAAUGAUUAUUUACCCCCCUGCAAAAUAAGCAAAUUUUCGUUUACCCCCUAUGCAGAUUUUUUUUCUGUUUACCCCC
This 792-nucleotide long non-coding RNA is filed under the name Trifolium pratense (red clover). RNAcentral describes it as "long non-coding RNA (TPRA_LNC008287)". The record is from RNAcentral. Lineage: Eukaryota; Viridiplantae; Streptophyta; Magnoliopsida; Fabales; Fabaceae.